Molecule: ribosomal RNA, 512 nt
Filed under: uncultured bacterium
Lineage: Bacteria
Description: partial 16S ribosomal RNA
Rfam family: Bacterial small subunit ribosomal RNA
Source: RNAcentral
GACGAACGCUGGCGGCGUGCUUAACACAUGCAAGUCGAACGAAAAGAGGGAAAGAGCUUGCUCUUUCCGGAAUUGAGUGGCAAACGGGUGAGUAACACGUAAACAACCUGCCUUCAGGAUGGGGACAACAGACGGAAACGACUGCUAAUACCGAAUAAGUUCCAAGGGCCGCAUGGCCCAUGGAAGAAAAGGUGGCCUCUACCUGUAAGCUAUCGCCUGAAGAGGGGUUUGCGUCUGAUUAGCUGGUUGGAGGGGUAACGGCCCACCAAGGCGACGAUCAGUAGCCGGUCUGAGAGGAUGACCGGCCACACUGGAACUGCGACACGGUCCAGACUCCUACGGGAGGCAGCAGUGGGGAAUCUUCCGCAAUGGGCGAAAGCCUGACGGAGCAACGCCGCGUGAGUGAUGACGGCCUUCGGGUUGUAAAACUCUGUGAUCCGGGGCGAAAAGGCAGAGUGCGAAGAACAAACUGCAUUGACGGUACCUGAAAAGCAAGCCACGGCUAACUACGU